This 909-nucleotide ribosomal RNA is filed under the name uncultured bacterium. RNAcentral describes it as "bacterial SSU rRNA". It matches the Rfam family "Bacterial small subunit ribosomal RNA", at positions 43 to 928 of the family's 1533-position model. The record is from RNAcentral.
CGUGCCUAACACAUGCAAGUCGAGCGAGAACGCCUCCUUCGGGAGGUUAGUAAAGCGGCGACGGGUGAGUAACACGUGAGCGAUCUGCCCGGCGGCGGGGGAUAACCCAGGGAAACCUGGGCUAAUACCGCAUACAGCACUGGCUUGGAAGCUGGAUGUGAAAGCUGGCCUCUCGAAGAAGCUGGCACCGUCGGAUGAGCUCGCGGCCUAUCAGCUAGUUGGUGGGGUAACGGCCCACCAAGGCGAUGACGGGUAGCUGGCGUGAGAGCGUGGCCAGCCACACUGGGACUGAGACACGGCCCAGACUCCUACGGGAGGCAGCAGUGGGGAAUAUUGCGCAAUGGGCGAAAGCCUGACGCAGCGACGCCGCGUGGGGGAGGAAGGCCUCAGGGUCGUAAACCCCUGUCAGGUGGGACGAACCACGGAUCGGUCAAUACCCGGUCCGCCUGACGGUACCACCAGAGGAAGCUCCGGCUAACUCCGUGCCAGCAGCCGCGGUAAUACGGAGGGAGCGAGCGUUGUUCGGAAUCACUGGGCGUAAAGGGCGCGUAGGCGGUCGGGUAAGUCGGGUGUGAAAUUCCGGGGCUCAACCCCGCGAACUGCACUCGAUACUGCUCGACUAGAGAGAGGUAGGGGCGAGUGGAAUUCCCGGUGUAGCGGUGGAAUGCGUAGAUAUCGGGAAGAACACCGGUGGCGAAGGCGGCUCGCUGGGCCUUUUCUGACGCUGAAGCGCGAAAGCGUGGGGAGCAAACAGGAUUAGAUACCCUGGUAGUCCACGCCGUAAACGAUGGGUACUAGGUGUUGGGAGGAUUGACCCUCUCAGUGCCGACGCUAACGCAUUAAGUACCCCGCCUGGGGGAGUACGGCCGCAAGGCUGAAACUCAAAGGAAUUGACGGGGGCCCGCACAA